AGAGCGAACGCUGGCGGCAGGCCUAACACAUGCAAGUCGAACGGACUCUUCGGAGUUAGUGGCGGACGGGUGAGUAACACGUGGGAACGUGCCUUUAGGUUCGGAAUAGCUCCUGGAAACGGGUGGUAAUGCCGAAUGUGCCCUUCGGGGGAAAGAUUUAUCGCCUUUAGAGCGGCCCGCGUCUGAUUAGCUAGUUGGUGAGGUAAAGGCUCACCAAGGCUACGAUCAGUAGCUGGUCUGAGAGGAUGACCAGCCACAUUGGGACUGAGACACGGCCCAAACUCCUACGGGAGGCAGCAGUGGGGAAUCUUGCGCAAUGGGCGAAAGCCUGACGCAGCCAUGCCGCGUGAAUGAUGAAGGUCUUAGGAUUGUAAAAUUCUUUCAGUAGGGACGAUAAUGACGGUACCUACAGAAGAAGCCCCGGCUAACUCGUGCCAGCAGCCGC
Molecule: ribosomal RNA, 445 nt
Filed under: uncultured soil bacterium
Lineage: Bacteria
Description: bacterial SSU rRNA
Rfam family: Bacterial small subunit ribosomal RNA
Source: RNAcentral